Molecule: small nucleolar RNA, 214 nt
Organism: Chrysemys picta bellii (western painted turtle)
Lineage: Eukaryota; Metazoa; Chordata; Testudines; Emydidae
Gene: U3
Rfam family: Small nucleolar RNA U3
About the family: Small nucleolar RNAs (snoRNAs) are involved in the processing and modification of rRNA in the nucleolus.
Source: Ensembl
AAGGCUAUGCUUUUAGGGAUCAUUUCUCUAGUUAGUGACUGGGGAAGGGUGGUUGUAAAAGCCUGGCCUUGCUAACCACAAUGAGGAACUGUAGUGUUUUUUUCUGAGUAUGACAAUGGUAGAGAGUACUGUUCUAUAACAGCUGUUUUCUGCUGUAGAAGAGUGUCUUGCUCUUUCUCACAAGAGCAGGGGAAAGAAACACAGUCUGAGUGGU